This 207-nucleotide ribosomal RNA is filed under the name Candidatus Midichloria sp. SR2. RNAcentral describes it as "partial 16S ribosomal RNA". It matches the Rfam family "Bacterial small subunit ribosomal RNA", at positions 633 to 842 of the family's 1533-position model. The record is from RNAcentral. Lineage: Bacteria; Pseudomonadati; Pseudomonadota; Alphaproteobacteria; Rickettsiales; Candidatus Midichloriaceae.
CUACUAAGCUUGAGUACUGUAGGGGGUAGCGGAACUCCUAGUGUAAGGGUGAAAUUCGUAGAUAUUAGGAGGAACACCGGAGGCGAAAGCGGUUAUCUGGACAGUCACUGACGCUGUUGCACGAAAGCGUGGGGAGCAAACAGGAUUAGAUACCCUGGUAGUCCACGCAGUAAACGAUGAGUGCUAGAUGUUGGGGUUUAAGUCUCA